GCUGGCGGCGUGCCUAAUACAUGCAAGUCGAGCGGACAGAUGGGAGCUUGCUCCCUGAAGUCAGCGGCGGACGGUUGAGUAACACGUGGGCAACCUGCCUGUAAGACUGGGAUAACUCCGGGAAACCGGGGCUAAUACCGGAUAACUCUUUCCCUCACAUGAGGGAAAGCUGAAAGAUGGUUUCGGCUAUCACUUACAGAUGGGCCCGCGGCGCAUUAGCUAGUUGGUGAGGUAACGGCUCACCAAGGCGACGAUGCGUAGCCGACCUGAGAGGGUGAUCGGCCACACUGGGACUGAGACACGGCCCAGACUCCUACGGGAGGCAGCAGUAGGGAAUCUUCCGCAAUGGACGAAAGUCUGACGGAGCAACGCCGCGUGAGUGAUGAAGGUUUUCGGAUCGUAAAACUCUGUUGUCAGGGAAGAACAAGUACCGGAGUAACUGCCGGUACCUUGACGGUACCUGACCAGAAAGCCACGGCUAACUACGUGCCAGCAGCCGCGGUAAUACGUAGGUGGCAAGCGUUGUCCGGAAUUAUUGGGCGUAAAGCGCGCGCAGGCGGUUCCUUAAGUCUGAUGUGAAAGCCCCCGGCUCAACCGGGGAGGGUCAUUGGAAACUGGGGAACUUGAGUGCAAAAGAGAAGAGUGGAAUUCCCCGUGUAGCGGUGAAAUGCGUAGAGAUGUGGAGGAACACCAGUGGC
This 698-nucleotide ribosomal RNA is filed under the name Cytobacillus sp. RNAcentral describes it as "bacterial SSU rRNA". It matches the Rfam family "Bacterial small subunit ribosomal RNA", at positions 35 to 716 of the family's 1533-position model. Lineage: Bacteria; Bacillati; Bacillota; Bacilli; Caryophanales; Bacillaceae. The record is from RNAcentral.